AGAGGUCCAUCUAAUUUUCCCCAGCAUCUUAAUAAACAAUUUACUUUUGGAGGCCACAACUUUCCAUUAAGCUCAAUCUUCAAUGAGAAAGACAAAAGAAGAAACCCUAGAAAUUGUUUGAUAACUCAAAAAAAAAAAAAAUCUCAUUAGAGUGACUCUCCUUACUUUGCUUCCGUGAUAUUGACAUUUUAGCCAGACUGAAGUAAGCUCAUCGCCGUUCCCCAUAACUUCACGACUUACAGCAUGGAUUUGCUGCCAGUGAAAUCAAUUGAAGUAUGAUAGAACAUGAAAUUUCUAGAGUUGCAUACUGGGCAGGCUAUAUUUAUUAAGAUCAACCAAUUGCUUUUUGGGUGGGAAAAUGGCGUGCAAUAUAGAUGAGGCUGCUAGGGCUAAAGAGAUUGCAGAAAAUAAGUUCUUUGCAAAUGACAUUAUGGGUUCAAAGAGGUUUCCUUUGAAGGCUCAGACUUUAUAUACUAAGCUUGACGGUAUCCCCAAAUUGUUAUUAUCAACGACCGAUGUAUAUAUUUCUGCUGAGAACCUUGGUGAUUUUGAGCGAGAAAAGGAAUAACACUCCUCAUCUUAUUUUGCUAAUUCAAACACAUCAAUGAGAUUUCGCUUUUAA
Molecule: long non-coding RNA, 622 nt
Organism: Humulus lupulus (European hop)
Lineage: Eukaryota; Viridiplantae; Streptophyta; Magnoliopsida; Rosales; Cannabaceae
Exons: 2
Source: RefSeq, a predicted model, not a curated record